This 622-nucleotide long non-coding RNA is filed under the name Homo sapiens (human). Lineage: Eukaryota; Metazoa; Chordata; Mammalia; Primates; Hominidae. The record is from RNAcentral.
GCAGGAAACUGCAUAUCUUCUGGUUUACAUGAAGAUGGAGUGCUAAUGGAAAUGCCCAAAACCUUCAGAGAUUGACACGCUGUCAUUUUCCAUUUCCGUUCCUGGAUCUACGGAGUCUUCUAAGAGAUUUUGCAAUGAGGAGAAGCAUUGUUUUCAAACUAUAUAACUGAGCCUUAUUUAUAAUUAGGGAUAUUAUCAAAAUAUGUAACCAUGAGGCCCCUCAGGUCCUGAUCAGUCAGAAUGGAUGCUUUCACCAGCAGACCCGGCCAUGUGGCUGCUCGGUCCUGGGUGCUCGCUGCUGUGCGAGACAUUAGCCCUUUAGUUAUGAGCCUGUGGGAACUUCAGGGGUUCCCAGUGGGGAGAGCAGUGGCAGUGGGAGGCAUCUGGGGGCCAAAGGUCAGUGGCGGGGGGUAUUUCAGUAUUAUACAACUGCUGUGACCAGACUUGUAUACUGGCUGAAUAUCAGUGCUGUUUGUAAUUUUUCACUUUGAGAACCAACAUUAAUUCCAUAUGAAUCAAGUGUUUUGUAACUGCUAUUCAUUUAUUCAGCAAAUAUUUAUUGAUCAUCUCUUCUCCAUAAGAUAGUGUGAUAAACACAGUCAUGAAUAAAGUUAUUUUCCAC